This 313-nucleotide unclassified non-coding RNA is filed under the name plant metagenome. Its description in RNAcentral is "partial contains 5.8S ribosomal RNA, internal transcribed spacer 2, and large subunit ribosomal RNA". The stretch from base 1 to 104 matches the Rfam family "5.8S ribosomal RNA", at positions 50 to 154 of the family's 154-position model. The record is from RNAcentral.
GAAAUGCGAUAUUAAUGUGAAUUGCAGAAUUCAGUGAAUCAUCGAGUCUUUGAACGCACAUUGCGCCCCCUGGUAUUCCGGGGGGCAUGCCUGUCCGAGCGUCAUUGCUGCCCUCAAGCACGGCUUGUGUGUUGGGCUUCCGUCCCUGGCAACGGGGACGGGCCCAAAAGGCAGUGGCGGCACCAUGUCUGGUCCUCGAGCGUAUGGGGCUUUGUCACCCGCUCCCGUAGGUCCAGCUGGCAGCUAGCCUCGCAACCAAUCUUUUUAACCAGGUUGACCUCGGAUCAGGUAGGGAUACCCGCUGAACUUAAGC